CAGAAAUCUGCAGAGCCAACCCAGCGACAGAUCUGUGAGGAGAACUGAGAUGUACUCUGGAGUCUUCCUGGAUCUUUACUCAGCCAUCCACAAGUCUUCUCACUGUGCAUUUGAAAUGUAACUGUCUCACCUCUGUGCUGCACAAACAGGAACACAAAAGAGCUCUGAAGUUGCUGUUGACUGGUGGACUCCGGACCUGGGAUGGCUGAGCAGAAUGAGGAUAUAGGACCUUUUCCUAUUAUGAAGAGAUUUCCCCAAUCAGUCUUCAGUCCCAACAUCCUCAUUUGCCCUUCUCCUAAGGCUAAUUUUGAUAUUAUUUUAGCCAGUUCACCCUCUUGUAUGCUGUUAAUUAAGGAAUUUCACUCCUGAACUGAGAAGCUUAAAGGAGAGUGAGCUUUGAUAACCCUUCAGCAUACUGUUUCCGGUGGCUAGCAUGAGUAUAAAUGGACAGCUGCGGAUUCCUGGCUGGAUGCUGUGUGAUUGAGACUUACUGGGAAGUGCUACUUUGAGAAGGCUUUUUGGCUGGGCUGUGGAAAUGUAUGUUAUACAAAACUAAGAUGAAUUGUACAAGAAAAAUUAAAAC
This 583-nucleotide long non-coding RNA is filed under the name Struthio camelus australis. RNAcentral describes it as "lncRNA (ENSSCUG00000003140.1)". The record is from RNAcentral. Lineage: Eukaryota; Metazoa; Chordata; Aves; Struthioniformes; Struthionidae.